This 76-nucleotide transfer RNA is filed under the name Scardovia inopinata F0304. RNAcentral's name for it is "tRNA-Val". It matches the Rfam family "tRNA". Rfam says of the family: Transfer RNA (tRNA) molecules are approximately 80 nucleotides in length. Their secondary structure includes four short double-helical elements and three loops (D, anti-codon, and T loops). RNAcentral also lists the same sequence under 1 other name. The record is from RNAcentral. Lineage: Bacteria; Bacillati; Actinomycetota; Actinomycetes; Bifidobacteriales; Bifidobacteriaceae.
GGGCGAUUGGCGCAGCGGCUAGCGCGCUUCCUUCACACGGAAGAGGCCAUAGGUUCGAUUCCUAUAUCGCCCACAA